CCUACGGGAGGCAGCAGUGAGGAAUAUUGGUCAAUGGACGGAAGUCUGAACCAGCCAAGUAGCGUGCAGGAUGACGGCCCUAUGGGUUGUAAACUGCUUUUAUACGGGGAUAAAAUGUUCCACGUGUGUUGUUUUGUAGGUACCGUAUGAAUAAGGAUCGGCUAACUCCGUGCCAGCAGCCGCGGUAAUACGGAGGGUCCGAGCGUUAUCCGGAUUUAUUGGGUUUAAAGGGAGCGUAGGCGGAUUGUUAAGUGAGUGGUGAAAUGUCGGGGCUUAACCCUGGAACUGCAGCGAAAACUGGCGGUCUUGAGUGCAGAAGAGGUAGGCGGAAUGCGUGGUGUAGCGGUGAAAUGCUUAGAUAUCACGAAGAACUCCGAUUGCGAAGGCAGCUUACUGCACUGCAACUGACGCUGAGGCACGAAAGCGUGGGUAUCAAACAGGAUUAGAUACCCCAGUAGUC
This 460-nucleotide ribosomal RNA is filed under the name uncultured bacterium. RNAcentral's name for it is "partial 16S ribosomal RNA". It matches the Rfam family "Bacterial small subunit ribosomal RNA", at positions 338 to 795 of the family's 1533-position model. The record is from RNAcentral.